AGUUGCCAAAGAAUUUAUUUUUGAUAUUCAGAAUUGUCGAUUAAAGUAUAUUUCAGCAAAUUUCCACUACCUCAAAACUUUCCACUAAGUGUCCGCCUGUAAGUGACAAAUACAGAGUUGUUUGUUGAGAUAACUUGUGUUCAUACAUCAUACCAUUCAUCAAUGGACGAGUUUGUGGUAAGAUCUGGAAUAUGUGUUGGUUUGAUCCCCACAUAUUAGAAUAUCCACGAGGAAGGCAUGGUUCGAUUGAUAAUACUAAUUUCUCAUUUUUUAAAACUGCUUUGUCUACUGGAAGUUUGCAAGCUCUGCCUUCAUAAUUUACAUUCAAUGUGACUUCAUCAGUUUUAAUUUCGCUCCAUGCUUCUUCACGAAAGUCAAAUAUUUUGAAUUUUUUAGGAAUUUCAUUGUGCACAAUGGUAAAAGUUUUAAUAUCAACUUUAAAAUUGCAGUUUUUCUGACUUGGUUGUUUGAAUUGCGGUUUGAUGGUAACAGAUUUUAUCUUGAUUCUUUUGUUUGCUUUCACAGAUAAAGUUUCAGAACAAUACUCAGUUAACAUGCUACUAUUGAUAUCACCUGACCGGUUGUUACCUGGAUACACUAUAUCGUUAACUGACACGUCCACAACUCUACCACUUUCUCGCGGACGUACUCUAAAUAAUCCGCAUGUUAAUGCAUUAUUCGGAAUUGUAAUAGCUUUGAAAAUCUGUAGCUGCUCUUCGUCUGUCAAAAUUCUACUUGGUAUGACAACUGACGUAAAUUCUUCAAGAGAAAGUAAAGGGAUUGCCAUAGUAAAUAGAAUACCAUCUCUUAAAAGAACGGCUCGUCUUGAUUUCCCGUCGA
Molecule: long non-coding RNA, 840 nt
Filed under: Mytilus galloprovincialis (Mediterranean mussel)
Lineage: Eukaryota; Metazoa; Mollusca; Bivalvia; Mytilida; Mytilidae
Source: RNAcentral